AUCCACGGCCAUAGGACUCUGAAAGCACCGCAUCCCGUCCGAUCUGCGCAGUUAACCAGAGUGCCGCCCAGUUAGUACCACGG
RNAcentral lists this ribosomal RNA (83 nucleotides) under Pleurotus eryngii. RNAcentral also lists the same sequence under 2 other names. The record is from RNAcentral. Lineage: Eukaryota; Fungi; Basidiomycota; Agaricomycetes; Agaricales; Pleurotaceae.